This is a non-coding RNA of Phrynosoma platyrhinos (Desert horned lizard), 72 nucleotides long. NCBI's taxonomy places the organism in Eukaryota, Metazoa, Chordata, Lepidosauria, Squamata, Phrynosomatidae. The record is from the annotation of a GenBank genome assembly.
AGUGUGAUGGUUUAGUUAUUUGAGUGUUGGACUAAGACUCUAGAGGCCAGGGUUCAAAUCCCUGCUUGACCA